CCUUACACCUGGGGCUACACACGUACUACAAUGGUGCAUACAAAGGGUUGCGAUACCGUGAGGUGGAGCUAAUCCCAUAAAGUGCAUCCCAGUCCGGAUAGGAGUCUGCAACUCGACUCCUUGAAGUCGGAAUCGCUAGUAAUCCCGGAUCACCAUGCCGGGGUGAAUGCGUUCCCGGGCCUUGUACACACCGCCCGUCACACCACGAAAGUUGGUUCUACCCCAAACCAGUGAGCUAACC
RNAcentral lists this ribosomal RNA (241 nucleotides) under Desulfovibrio sp. BBD-22. RNAcentral's name for it is "partial 16S ribosomal RNA". It matches the Rfam family "Bacterial small subunit ribosomal RNA", at positions 1200 to 1440 of the family's 1533-position model. The record is from RNAcentral. Lineage: Bacteria; Pseudomonadati; Thermodesulfobacteriota; Desulfovibrionia; Desulfovibrionales; Desulfovibrionaceae.